This 151-nucleotide long non-coding RNA is filed under the name Anas platyrhynchos platyrhynchos (common mallard). RNAcentral describes it as "lncRNA (ENSAPLG00000027505.1)". The record is from RNAcentral. Lineage: Eukaryota; Metazoa; Chordata; Aves; Anseriformes; Anatidae.
UUUUGCAGUUCCUGAAUUGGUGAUUAGAAGUUUGUUAUUUGGCAAUGAAUUAAAUGAAGCAAAAAAUCUUCUGGAUUGAGACGGAAGCCAAAUCCAUGGAGUCAAGCACUGUCAUCAGGACUGCAGCCAGGAGCUGAGGAAAGACACUGGU